CCAGGCUUGUCUUGAACUCCUGGACUCAAGAGAUCCUCCCAUCUUGGCCUCUCAAAGUGUUGGGAUUACAGGCGUGAGCUAUUACACCUGACUUAAGUCUCCAUUUUCAUAUCUAUACUUUGGGAUUCCAGAAGACAGAGGUUUGAGUGUAAAACACAAAAUAACAAAACCACAACAAAAACAACUCUGUAUUCUCGUCCCCACCAUUACCAUCUCUCCUUUGUGAUGUCAAAGAGACCAGAGGAAGUGGACAGACUCGGGGAAGAAUAGGUAAGUAUUAGAGACAGAAAAAGUAUGAAGUCCCUUCUGUGAGGACUAACAAUAGUGAUGCCAUUUUACAACCUUGAUGACUGUGUUCUCAAGAAACAAAGCAAAUGUCAACCCCGUCCAUAGCUUCAACAGAGCAUAACAGCUCUAACCGCAACAGAGCCUAACGGCCCUAACCACAUCUGUCCCCAGUUGGAAAGUGUCCAAACAGUUCCAACUAGCCAGCACUUCCCCAACCCCUCCCCAACAGAAAUUUUAUUAUAAAAGCCUCAGCUUGUAAGCGAUCAGGAUCUCAGCCAGAUUCCUAACUGGAACUCUUCGCAGGCUUUUCCUGUAAAUAAACCUGUUUGGCCGUGGAAUUGCCUCCUGUUACUCGCUCUCUACGUUUAUAUCUUCCUAACACCUUCCG
This 676-nucleotide long non-coding RNA is filed under the name Pan troglodytes (chimpanzee). RNAcentral describes it as "long non-coding RNA NONPTRT015060". Lineage: Eukaryota; Metazoa; Chordata; Mammalia; Primates; Hominidae. The record is from RNAcentral.